This 1442-nucleotide long non-coding RNA is filed under the name Cricetulus griseus (Chinese hamster). RNAcentral describes it as "lncRNA (ENSCGRG00015041628.1)". The record is from RNAcentral. Lineage: Eukaryota; Metazoa; Chordata; Mammalia; Rodentia; Cricetidae.
AGCGGGCUACGUUGGUGCUGGAGAGGCACCACACUCCUGCAUGCACGCCCACCCCCAAUCCUUCCCCCCAACACGGGGGGUGGUGGGGGGCAAAAACAACCCGGGGCGCUGACGUCACCCAGGCGGAGGCGCCUACCGCUGUACCCUCACUGUAUGCAGUUGUUGGAGAUGCUCGGUUUAGCAGAGACAUUGAGAGAGAGAGAGAGAGAUGGAGCCCUUGGCCUUCUGUCACAAGAGCUGGCAAAUGGCCCGCCCGGCUAGCCCUGCCCUAGCCAGUCCCAGAGCCACAGAUCUGGGAUCUGCCAGCCGUGCUAUUUGCCUCACCGAGUGGGUCUACUCAUAGUUUUCCACGAGACUUGACAAGGAAGGAACAAACCCCACAACUCUAAAGGAUCUCAGGUAGCCCAGGCUGACCUGGAAUUUACUUCAUAGACCUUGUACACCUGAUCCUCCACCUUCACCUCCUGAGUGCUGGCAUCACAGCUUACUGAAGAUAAGGUGAAUCCCUUCACUCAAGGCUCUUUGUGAUCUGACAACUUUCUUUGGGAACAAAAGAAGCUGACAGGCGUCUUAAUGACUUCUCAUAGAUGCCUUAGUCACCCACAUGUUCACACGCUGGGUGUCACAUAGCACUGCAGUUAAAGGCCAGCUUGUGAGCAGUACCUUCUUUCAGUGGUACAUAAACUACAGGCUGAGCCCGGUGUGCAUACUUGUAACCUCAACUGUUCCGGUGGCCGAACCAGGAGAAUCACAAGUGUGAGACUGGCCUGCUUAGACUACAGAGUGACUUCAAGGCUAAAUUGAGCAACUUAAUGAGAUUGGCUCUCAAAAGAGUGAAAAAGAGCUGGGCAUGCAGCUUAGAAUCAAAGUAUUUCUCCAGCGUGUGUGAGCCUGAGGUUCAAUCCCCAGGACUGGGAAACAAAAACAAAGAAAUAAGAAAAGCUAACUGACUUCAUUUUCAUUUUGAGAGCAUCACUGCCCAUCACAGGAAAACAGUUCAUACAUCUGAAGAUGCCAAGAGGAACAAGGAUCACACGGAGGCUCCGUAGAGCAGAGAGCAGGAGGAAGAGGAAGAGCAAGAGAAUGAUUUCCUUCUUGUCCAUGCUUAUAUUCUGAGUCUGCCUGCUAUGUCACUUCCUGCCUGGAUCUCUACUACAUUUCCUAGAAUCCUCCUUGACUCCUAGUUCCACCUGUCUUGCUUUCCCAUUGGCCAACAGUACUUUAUUGACCAACCAAUAAGACAAACUUAUACACAGAAGGACGUGCCCCAUCCGACUAGUGCUUAGAAGAAUUGAUUAAGCUUCUAUGCUUUAUGUCACAUAAAUGUCACUAAAACAGGAACCGUGUCUUCUGGAGUUUAUUGUCAUGAUAUUGACCUAGGGAGAUUUCAUGGAAUUGCAUAUUUCUGUAUGCUCUUGAAAUUUGGUGCACGGUCACCUGUG